This 500-nucleotide ribosomal RNA is filed under the name uncultured bacterium. Its description in RNAcentral is "bacterial SSU rRNA". It matches the Rfam family "Bacterial small subunit ribosomal RNA", at positions 23 to 518 of the family's 1533-position model. The record is from RNAcentral.
CUCAGGAUGAACGCUGGCGGCGUGCUUAAUACAUGCAAGUCGAACGAAGCGCUUACAGCCGAUCCCUUCGGGGUGAAGCAGUUUGUGACUUAGUGGCGGACGGGUGAGUAACGCGUGGGUAACCUGCCUUAUGCAGGGGGAUAACAGUUAGAAAUGACUGCUAAUACCGCAUAAGCGCACAGCACCGCAUGGUGGAGUGUGAAAGGAUUUAUCGGCAUAAGAUGGACCCGCGUCUGAUUAGGUAGUUGGUGAGGUAACGGCCCACCAAACCUACGAUCAGUAGCCGACUUGAGAGAGUGAUCGGCCACAUUGGGACUGAGACACGGCCCAGACUCCUACGGGAGGCAGCAGUAGGGAAUAUUGCACAAUGGGGGAAACCCUGAUGCAGCGAACCGCCGCGUGAGUGAUUGAAGCAUUUCGGUGCGUAAAGCUCUAUCAGCAGGGAAGAUAAUGACGGUACCUGACUAAGAAGCCCCGGCUAACUACGUGCCAGCAGCCGC